AUGGUGCCUCUUUACAAUGUCAAUGUAAAACUCAUUUGCUUUUUCAAACUUUUAAAGGAUAGUAGUUAUCCAUUGGUCUUAGGAACCAAAAAAUUGGUGCAACUCCAAAUAAAAGUAAUAAACUUAUUUACUUCUUCCGCCCUACUCACACUACUCAUACUGAUCGCCCCUGUCAUAGCAUCUAGUACAAACCUCUACAAAAACAACAAGUACCAACAUUAUGUAAAAAAUAUAACCCUCUUUGCUUUCAUCACCAGCCUAAUCCCAAUAAUAAUAUUUAUCCAUACAAAUCAAGAAAUACUCAUUUCAAACUGACACUGAAUUACUAUCCAUACCCUUAAACUAACACUCAGCUUUAAAAUAGACUACUUUUCACUUAUAUUUAUACCCAUAGCACUAUUCAUUACAUGAUCUAUCAUAGAAUUUUCAAUAUGAUAUAUGCACUCCGACCCUCACAUCAACCAAUUCUUCAAAUACCUACUUAUUUUCCUCAUUACCAUACUUAUCCUCGUCACAGCUAACAACCUCUUCCAAUUAUUUAUCGGAUGAGAGGGAGUAGGAAUCAUAUAUUUCCUAUUAAUUGGCUGAUGAUUCGGAUGAACAGACACUAAUACAGCCACUCUUCAAGCAAUCCUAUAUAAUCGUAUCGGAGACAUCGGAUUCCUUCUAUCCAUAGCCUGAUUCUUACAUAAUACAAACGCAUGAGACUUACAACAAAUCUUCACACUCAACCAAAAUCCCCCAAUCCUCCCUCUUAUAGGACUCACAUUAGCUGCAGCUGGAAAAUCAGCCCAAUUUGGUCUACACCCCUGACUACCCUCAGCAAUAGAAGGUCCCACUCCAGUUUCAGCCCUACUCCAUUCAAGCACAAUAGUCGUAGCAGAAAUUUUCCUACCUAUCCGCUUCUACUCUCUAACAGAAAAUAACAAAUUUAUUCAAACAAUAAUACUUUCUCUAGGUGCCCUCACCACCCUAUUCACAGCUAUCUGUGCCUUAACCCAAAAUGAUAUCAAAAAAAUUAUUGCUUUUUCCACCUCCAGUCAACUUGGCCUAAUAAUAGUAACGUUAGGCCUCAACCAACCACACCUAGCCUUCCUGCACAUUUGUACACAUGCUUUCUUCAAAGCUAUGUUAUUCUUAUGUUCCGGCUCCAUCAUUCACAAUCUAAACAAUGAACAAGACAUUCAAAAGAUAGGAGGACUAUACAAAAUCCUUCCCUUCACUACAACUGCCCUAAUCAUUGGCUGCUUCGCACUAACAGGAAUACCAUUUCUCACAGGAUUCUACUCUAAAGACCUCAUCAUUGAAGCUGCCACUUCGUCUUAUACCAACGCCUGA
This is an RNA transcript of Orcinus orca (killer whale), 1338 nucleotides long. It is a transcript of the gene named NADH-ubiquinone oxidoreductase chain 5-like, with no coding region annotated. The record is from RefSeq and is a predicted model, not a curated record. The transcript has 3 exons. NCBI's taxonomy places the organism in Eukaryota, Metazoa, Chordata, Mammalia, Artiodactyla, Delphinidae.